GUCCCUAUCUGUCGUGGGCGUUGGAUAUUUGAGAGGAGCUGACCUUAGUACGAGAGGACCGGGUCGGACGUACCUCCUGUGCACCAGUUGUUCUGCCAAGGGCAUAGCUGGGUAGCCGCGUGCGGUAUUGAUAAACGCUGAAGGCAUCUAAGCGUGAAGCACACCUCAAGAUAAGAUAUCCCACAGUUUCAAACUGGUAAGGUCACUUAUAGACUAUGAGUUUGAUAGGUCGGAGGUGUAAGCACAGUAAUGUGUUUAGCUGACCGAUACUAAUAGACCGAGGGCUUGAACUG
RNAcentral lists this ribosomal RNA (293 nucleotides) under Clostridia bacterium. RNAcentral's name for it is "partial 23S ribosomal RNA". It matches the Rfam family "Bacterial large subunit ribosomal RNA", at positions 2634 to 2925 of the family's 2925-position model. Lineage: Bacteria; Bacillati; Bacillota; Clostridia. The record is from RNAcentral.